AACGAACGCUGGCGGCAUGCCUAACACAUGCAAGUCGAACGAAGUCUUCGGACUUAGUGGCGCACGGGUGCGUAACGCGUGGGAAUCUGCCCUUGGGUGCGGAAUAACUUCUCGAAAGGGAUGCUAAUACCGCAUAAUGUCGUAAGACCAAAGAUUUAUCGCCCAAGGAUGAGCCCGCGUAAGAUUAGCUAGUUGGUGGGGUAAAAGCCUACCAAGGCGACGAUCUUUAGCUGGUCUGAGAGGAUGAUCAGCCACACUGGGACUGAGACACGGCCCAGACUCCUACGGGAGGCAGCAGUGGGAAAUAUUGCGCAAUGGGCGAAAGCCUGACGCAGCGACGCCGCGUGGGUGAUGAAGGCCUU
This 362-nucleotide ribosomal RNA is filed under the name uncultured bacterium. Its description in RNAcentral is "bacterial SSU rRNA". It matches the Rfam family "Bacterial small subunit ribosomal RNA", at positions 29 to 418 of the family's 1533-position model. The record is from RNAcentral.